Molecule: long non-coding RNA, 725 nt
Organism: Xenopus tropicalis (tropical clawed frog)
Lineage: Eukaryota; Metazoa; Chordata; Amphibia; Anura; Pipidae
Exons: 2
Source: RefSeq, a predicted model, not a curated record
AAUGAACUGGGAGGCUUUAAGGAGGAAAGAAAUCAAGCCUAUGUUUAUUAUGAAUAACACUGGAACAGUUCCUUUGACUGAAACUGAACUUAGCGACUGGGAAUUAUAAUUAUUUAUAUUCCCAGUGGUAUAAACAUCGUGGACCCCUGUAGACCUACAGAGCUAAGCUGCCUGCAUAGGGUGGAGGGCGGGGGGGCCCUAGAGCAAAUCAUGCCCAGGGCCCCGCAGGCCUCUGUUACUGCCACAGAAGUCAAGUCUACGGGUGCCUGAGGAAUAAAGUCUCGUCUGUUCCUCUGCUCAAAGGAGAUUUCUGGUUGAAACGAUGAGAAGCUGAACACUAUGAAAGCAACCACUAAUUGAAGGUGAUGUCAUUCCCUGUGUAUCCCUUUAAAUGUAUUUACUGGGUUAGUUACAUUGUUGAAGGCUUUAUAAAGGGCAUGUGCUUUGCCUGAAAUGUCGCCUUUUCGAUGUGAUCCUUUUUAAAUACAUAUUUUGCACUCAAUCCAUGUGCUGCGUCUGCUUUGAAUAUAUCUACGACUGGAGAACAGGACGGCAUCCAGAAGUUACUGAGCACCGGAGCUUUUCAGUGUUGGAAGAGUGCGGAGACGUUUCUGUAUCAAGAUCUGUACAUAUAUGUAUAUAUGAUCCUUGAUAAAGGUCCUAAUGUGGGCCGAAAUAUUGUGUGAUAUGUGAAAUAAAGACAUUUAGUUGUUUUUAUACUUAUA